GCAUGCCUAACACAUGCAAGUCGAACGAGGUUGACUUCGGUCAACCUAGUGGCGGACGGGUGAGUAAUACGUGGGAAUCUGCCUCGUAGUGGGGGAUAACGUAGGGAAACUUACGCUAGUACCGCAUACGCUCUACGGAGGAAAGGGGGGGGUCUUCGGACCUCUCGCUAUGAGAUGAGCCCACGUCUGAUUAGCUAAUUGGUAGGGUAAUGGCCUACCAAGGCGACGAUGGGUAGCUGGUCUGAGAGGAUGGCCAGCCACACUGGAACUGGAACACGGUCCAGACUCCUACGGGAGGCAGCAGUGAGGAAUAUUGGACAAUGGGGGCAACCCUGAUCCAGCAACGCCGCGUGAGUGAUGAAGGCCUUCGGGGUUGUAAAGCUCUGUUGAUGGGGAAAGAAGUAAGUGACGGUACCCAUCGAGGAAGCACCGGCUAACUCCGUGCCAGCAGCCGC
This 455-nucleotide ribosomal RNA is filed under the name uncultured bacterium. RNAcentral's name for it is "bacterial SSU rRNA". It matches the Rfam family "Bacterial small subunit ribosomal RNA", at positions 42 to 518 of the family's 1533-position model. The record is from RNAcentral.